AUUGAACGCUGGCGGCAGGCCUAACACAUGCAAGUCGAGCGGAUGAAGGGAGCUUGCUUCUGGAUUCAGCGGCGGACGGGUGAGUGAUGCCUAGGAAUCUGCUUGGUAGUGGGGGAUAACGUCCGGAAACGGGCGCUAAUACCGCAUACGUCCUGAGGGAGCAAGUGGGGGAUCUUCGGACCUUACGCUAUCAGAUGAGCCUAGGUCGGAUUAGCUAGUUGGUGGGGUAAAGGCCUACCAAGGCGACGAUCCGUAACUGGUCUGAGAGGAUGAUCAGUCACACUGGAACUGAGACACGGUCCAGACUCCUACGGGAGGCAGCAGUGGGGAAUAUUGGACAAUGGGCGGAAGCCUGAUCCAGCCAUGCCGCGUGUGUGAAGAAGGUCUUCGGAUUGUAAAGCACUUUAAGUUGGGAGGAAGGGCAGUAAGUUAAUACCUUGCUGUUUUGACGUUACCAACAGAAUAAGCACCGGCUAACUUCGUG
This 484-nucleotide ribosomal RNA is filed under the name uncultured bacterium. Its description in RNAcentral is "partial 16S ribosomal RNA". It matches the Rfam family "Bacterial small subunit ribosomal RNA", at positions 30 to 507 of the family's 1533-position model. The record is from RNAcentral.